RNAcentral lists this ribosomal RNA (584 nucleotides) under uncultured bacterium. RNAcentral's name for it is "partial 16S ribosomal RNA". It matches the Rfam family "Bacterial small subunit ribosomal RNA", at positions 355 to 935 of the family's 1533-position model. The record is from RNAcentral.
UGGUGAAUUUUGGACAAUGGGCGAAAGCCUGAUCCAGCAAUGCCGCGUGUGUGAAGAAGGCCUUCGGGUUGUAAAGCACUUUUGUCCGGAAAGAAAUCCUUGGCUCUAAUACAGUCGGGGGAUGACGGUACCGGAAGAAUAAGCACCGGCUAACUACGUGCCAGCAGCCGCGGUAAUACGUAGGGUGCAAGCGUUAAUCGGAAUUACUGGGCGUAAAGCGUGCGCAGGCGGUUUGCUAAGACCGAUGUGAAAAUCCCCGGGGCUCAACCUGGGAACUGCAUUGGUGACUGGCAGGCUAGAGUAUGGCAGAGGGGGGUAGAAUUCCACGUGUAGCAGUGAAAUGCGUAGAGAUGUGGAGGAAUACCGAUGGCGAAUGCAGCCCCCUGGGCCAAUACUGACGCUCAUGCACGAAAGCGUGGGGAGCAAACAGGAUUAGAUACCCUGGUAGUCCACGCCCUAAACGAUGUCAACUAGUUGUUGGGGAUUCAUUUCCUUAGUAACGUAGCUAACGCGUGAAGUUGACCGCCUGGGGAGUAUGGUCGCAAGAUUAAAACUUAAAUGAAUUGACGGGGUCAUAGCUGUUU